GGGGGUGUAGUUCAGUUGGNUAGAACGCCUGCCUGUCACGCAGGAGGCCGCGGGUUCGAGUCCCGUCACUCCCGCCA
This 77-nucleotide transfer RNA is filed under the name Rickettsiales bacterium. RNAcentral's name for it is "tRNA-Asp". It matches the Rfam family "tRNA". From Rfam's summary of the family: Transfer RNA (tRNA) molecules are approximately 80 nucleotides in length. Lineage: Bacteria; Pseudomonadati; Pseudomonadota; Alphaproteobacteria; Rickettsiales. The record is from RNAcentral.